RNAcentral lists this ribosomal RNA (429 nucleotides) under Pseudomonadota bacterium. Its description in RNAcentral is "Proteobacteria bacterium partial 16S ribosomal RNA". It matches the Rfam family "Bacterial small subunit ribosomal RNA", at positions 355 to 776 of the family's 1533-position model. The record is from RNAcentral. Lineage: Bacteria; Pseudomonadati; Pseudomonadota.
UGGGGAAUAUUGGACAAUGGGCGAAAGCCUGAUCCAGCCAUGUCGCGUGUGUGAAGAAGGUCUUCGGAUUGUAAAGCACUUUAAGUUGGGAGGAAGGGCAGUAAGCGAAUACCUUGCUGUUUUGACGUUACCGACAGAAUAAGCACCGGCUAACUCUGUGCCAGCAGCCGCGGUAAUACAGAGGGUGCAAGCGUUAAUCGGAAUUACUGGGCGUAAAGCGCGCGGAGGUGGUUCGUUAAGUUGAAUGUGAAAGCCCCGGGCUCAACCUGGGAACUGCAUCCAAAACUGGCGGGCUAGAGUAGGGCAGAGGGUGGUGGAAUUUCCUGUGUAGCGGUGAAAUGCGUAGAUAUAGGAAGGAACACCAGUGGCGAAGGCGACCACCUGGGCUCAUACUGACACUGAGGUGCGAAAGCGUGGGGAGCAAACAGG